UACGGGGGGGGCAAGCGUUGUUCGGAAUUACUGGGCGUAAAGGCUCGUAGCGGCCAACUAAGUCGGAUGUGAAAUCCCCAAGCUUAACUUGGGAACUGCAUCCGAUACUGGAUGGCUUGAAUCCGGGAGAGGGAUGCGGAAUUCCAGGUGUAGCGGUGAAAUGCGUAGAUAUCAGGAGGAACACCGGCGGUGUAGACGGCUUGCUAGACCAUAACUGACGCUGAGGCACGAAAGCGUGGGUAGCAAACAGG
RNAcentral lists this ribosomal RNA (251 nucleotides) under uncultured bacterium. RNAcentral describes it as "partial 16S ribosomal RNA". It matches the Rfam family "Bacterial small subunit ribosomal RNA", at positions 524 to 776 of the family's 1533-position model. The record is from RNAcentral.